This 497-nucleotide ribosomal RNA is filed under the name uncultured bacterium. RNAcentral's name for it is "partial 16S ribosomal RNA". It matches the Rfam family "Bacterial small subunit ribosomal RNA", at positions 28 to 507 of the family's 1533-position model. The record is from RNAcentral.
GAUGAACGCUGGCGGCGUGCCUAAUACAUGCAAGUCGAGCGAACGGACGAGAAGCUUGCUUCUCUGAUGUUAGCGGCGGACGGGUGAGUAACACGUGGAUAACCUACCUAUAAGACUGGGAUAACUUCGGGAAACCGGAGCUACUACCGGAUAAUAUUUUGAACCGCAUGGUUCAAAAGUGAAAGACGGUCUUGCUGUCACUUAUAGAUGGAUCCGCGCUGCAUUAGCUAGUUGGUAAGGUAACGGCUUACCAAGGCAACGAUGCAUAGCCGACCUGAGAGGGUGAUCGGCCACACUGGAACUGAGACACGGUCCAGACUCCUACGGGAGGCAGCAGUAGGGAAUCUUCCGCAAUGGGCGAAAGCCUGACGGAGCAACGCCGCGUGAGUGAUGAAGGUCUUCGGAUCGUAAAACUCUGUUAUUAGGGAAGAACAUAUGUGUAAGUAACUGCGCACAUCUUGACGGUACCUAAUCAGAAAGCCACGGCUAACUACGUG